This is a long non-coding RNA of Leopardus geoffroyi (Geoffroy's cat), 1250 nucleotides long. RefSeq lists it as uncharacterized. The transcript has 2 exons. The record is from RefSeq and is a predicted model, not a curated record. NCBI's taxonomy places the organism in Eukaryota, Metazoa, Chordata, Mammalia, Carnivora, Felidae.
AUUAUACAGUUUUCAUGGCCCUGGGUUUAUACUCGGUUACGGAAUAUGAACGCACGACCUGUGUACGGUCUCCACAAUGCCUUAGUUUUUUGUUGGUUUCUUGGUUGUCUUCCCCAGGAUGCUGUGAUCUUGGAAAAACACAAGCGUCUGAAUUUGUGUUAGAAUGUUAAUACCACGGCUGGUCAUCCCUUGCGUUCUUAAUAAACGUCUCGCAACAAUACGCAAAAGAGGAAAAUUCUUUUCACUCUGCAGCAAAACAAAUACAUGCCAUUUAGCUUAACAGACCGUACAAAUGCUAAGUGCGUUCAAGGGCUUUGAGCCAUAUUUUGGAUGGAACUUCCCUGGAAGGUGUGGGCCGGUACUUGGCCGUCAUCUGGAGAGGUUUUAGAUGAUGCUUUAUUCUGGACGCUUCCAUCCCUAAAUGGCAGAUGGGCAUGGGGGGGGGGGGAGGCGCCAUUCCCUGACAUGCAGCUGCGAAGGAACGGGGCAGGUGGGCACCUCUUCCUUUCUGGGGACACAGGGUUGGAUCGCUGCUCCCAUCGCCCAGGGACUGGAAGACAGAGAAACGAAUCCUUCCAUCUGCUGAGUGUCUCUGCGCGGCUGCUGAAGUAACCAGGCAGGCUCCGUAAUACGGUAACCACCGACGACGGCUGCUGGACAGUCACUGGGGGGUAAGAGUGGGGAUGACGAUUUCAAAGGCGACCCAGUUCUUGCCGGUAUGCGCGUUCAGAGGCGUAAGCAGAAGCAUCCCGUGUUCUGCUUGAGCGGUGACUGCGCUGCCCACUGGUGCCCAGGGCCCGCCCACCCCCCUUCCUGGGCUUCGUAGCCACAGCCCAGGGCGCUGGGGCCAACUGAGCACGUGCUAUGAGAGGCAGGCCUGCUCCUCUGAUUGAGGCUCGGACUGAACAGGGACACAGAACAGGAACGACGCCCUCCACGCCCCAGUGUCCCCCUCAUGUUCCCAAGCGCCCUGCCAGACUGGAACGCAGCUCCCUGCUCUGAUGUCAAGGUCAAGGGGACAGCUGGUUCCCCCCCCACCCCCCCUGCCCUUCUGUGGCAGUCGCAGGCACAUGAGAGGCAGCAUUGGUGGGUGCUCGGGAACGUGGGUGCCAGAGAUGGGCGGGCUGAGCAGGAAGCCCAGAUCCAACACAUGCUGGGACCCAGAGCAGGGGACAUCACCCCUCUGGGCCGCGCUGCCCUUCUGUGUCAAGUGGGAAAUACCCGAACGAAUAAAAGAAUGACAGCAACCA